RNAcentral lists this ribosomal RNA (212 nucleotides) under Vibrio parahaemolyticus. RNAcentral's name for it is "partial 16S ribosomal RNA". It matches the Rfam family "Bacterial small subunit ribosomal RNA", at positions 1 to 207 of the family's 1533-position model. Lineage: Bacteria; Pseudomonadati; Pseudomonadota; Gammaproteobacteria; Vibrionales; Vibrionaceae. The record is from RNAcentral.
CUUAAAUUGAAGAGUUUGAUCAUGGCUCAGAUUGAACGCUGGCGGCAGGCCUAACACAUGCAAGUCGAGCGGAAACGAGUUAUCUGAACCUUCGGGGGACGAUAGCGGCGUCGAGCGGCGGACGGGUGAGUAAUGCCUAGGAAAUUGCCCUGAUGUGGGGGAUAACCAUUGGAAACGAUGGCUAAUACCGCAUGAUGCCUACGGGCCAAAGA